UGUCGUCAGCUCGUGCCGUGAGGUGUUGGGUUAAGUCCCGCAACGAGCGCAACCCUCGUUCUAUGUUGCCAGCGCGUGAUGGCGGGGACUCAUAGGAGACUGCCGGGGUCAACUCGGAGGAAGGUGGGGAUGACGUCAAAUCAUCAUGCCCCUUAUGUCUUGGGCUUCACGCAUGCUACAAUGGCCGGUACAAAGGGCUGCUAAGCCGCGAGGUGGAGCGAAUCCCAAAAAGCCGGUCUCAGUUCGGAUUGGGGUCUGCAACUCGACCCCAUGAAGUCGGAGUCGCUAGUAAUCGCAGAUCAGCAACGCUGCGGUGAAUACGUUCCCGGGCCUUGUACACACCGC
Molecule: ribosomal RNA, 345 nt
Filed under: Ochromonas sp. CCMP1393
Lineage: Eukaryota; Chrysophyceae; Chromulinales; Chromulinaceae
Description: partial Bacterial small subunit ribosomal RNA
Rfam family: Bacterial small subunit ribosomal RNA
Source: RNAcentral